UGGGGAUAGAGUGUAUGAUGACGGAGG
RNAcentral lists this non-coding RNA (27 nucleotides) under Mus musculus (house mouse). The record is from RNAcentral. Lineage: Eukaryota; Metazoa; Chordata; Mammalia; Rodentia; Muridae.